Molecule: ribosomal RNA, 483 nt
Filed under: uncultured bacterium
Lineage: Bacteria
Description: partial 16S ribosomal RNA
Rfam family: Bacterial small subunit ribosomal RNA
Source: RNAcentral
AUUGAACGCUGGCGGCAGGCCUAACACAUGCAAGUCGAGCGGAUGAAGGGAGCUUGCUCCUGGAUUCAGCGGCGGACGGGUGGGUAAUGCCUAGGAAUCUGCCUGGUAGUGGGGGAUAACGUCCGGAAACGGGCGCUAAUACCGCAUACGUCCUGAGGGAGAAAGUGGGGGAUCUUCGGACCUCACGCUAUCAGAUGAGCCUAGGUCGGAUUAGCUAGUUGGUGGGGUAAAGGCCUACCAAGGCGACGAUCCGUAACUGGUCUGAGAGGAUGAUCAGUCACACUGGAACUGAGACACGGUCCAGACUCCUACGGGAGGCAGCAGUGGGGAAUAUUGGACAAUGGGCGAAAGCCUGAUCCAGCCAUGCCGCGUGUGUGAAGAAGGUCUUCGGAUUGUAAAGCACUUUAAGUUGGGAGGAAGGGCAGUAAGUUAAUACCUUGCUGUUUUGACGUUACCAACAGAAUAAGCACCGGCUAACUUCGU